UGGGGAAUAUUGGACAAUGGGCGCAAGCCUGAUCCAGCCAUGCCGCGUGAGUGAUGACGGCCCUAGGGUUGUAAAGCUCUUUCACCGGUGAAGAUAAUGACGGUAACCGGAGAAGAAGCCCCGGCUAACUUCGUGCCAGCAGCCGCGGUAAUACGAAGGGGGCUAGCGUUGUUCGGAAUAACUGGGCGUAAAGCGCACGUAGGCGGAUUGUUUAGUUAGGGGUGAAAUCCCGGGGCUCAACCCCGGAACUGCCUUUAAUACUGGCAAUCUGGAGUUCGAGAGAGGUGAGUGGAAUUCCGAGUGUAGAGGUGAAAUUCGUAGAUAUUCGGAGGAACACCAGUGGCGAAGGCGGCUCACUGGCUCGAUACUGACGCUGAGGUGCGAAAGCGUGGGGAGCAAACAGGAUUAGAUACCCCCGUAGUCC
Molecule: ribosomal RNA, 424 nt
Filed under: uncultured prokaryote
Description: bacterial SSU rRNA
Rfam family: Bacterial small subunit ribosomal RNA
Source: RNAcentral